GGAUAACCUGGUAAUUCUAUGGCUAAUACAUGCGCAAAUACUAUAUCACUCGGGGGUAUAGUAGUGUUUAUUAGAUACAGAACCUUUACACCUUUUUUAAAGGGUGUAGAAAAAGGUGAUUCAUAGUAACCGAACGGAUCGCAUUAUAAUCAUUUCGAUGAUUGGCGAUAGAUCAUUCAAGUUUCUGACCUAUCAGCUUUCGACGGUAGUGUAUUGGACUACCGUGGCAGUGACGGGUAACGGGGAAUUAGGGUUCGAUUCCGGAGAGGGAGCCUGAGAAACGGCUACCACAUCUAAGGAAGGCAGCAGGCGCGCAAAUUACCCAAUCCUGACUCAGGGAGGUAGUGACAAGAAAUAACAACACUGGAAAUUCUAUUUCUAGUGAUUGGAAUGAUGGGAAUCCAAACCCCUUUCAGAGUAACAAUUGGAGGGCAAGUCUGGUGCCAGCAGCCGCGGUAAUUCCAGCUCCAAUAGCGUAUAUUAAAGUUGUUGCAGUUAAAAAGCUCGUAGUUGGAUAUCUGCUGGAAGCAAUCAGUCCGCCCUUUUAGUGAGGGUGUGUACUUGAUGAAUUCUGGGAUGAUUAUCUUCCCACUAAUAAUAUUAUUAUAUUACGUUGAUUCCUAAUAUGGUAAUAAUUUUUUUUGGGACACCACAGUUACUUUGAGAAAAUUAGAGUGUUUGAAGCAGGCUUGUUGCCUUGAAUACUGCAGCAUGGAAUAACAAUAUAGGAUUUCGGUUCUAUUUUGUUGGUUUCUAGGACUGAAAUAAUGAUUAAUAGGGACAGUUGGGGGCAUUCGUAUUUAACUGUCAGAGGUGAAAAUCUUAGAUUUGUUAAAGACGAACUACUGCGAAAGCAUUUGCC
RNAcentral lists this ribosomal RNA (862 nucleotides) under Sarcocystis fusiformis. RNAcentral's name for it is "SSU rRNA". It matches the Rfam family "Eukaryotic small subunit ribosomal RNA", at positions 141 to 959 of the family's 1831-position model. Lineage: Eukaryota; Apicomplexa; Conoidasida; Eucoccidiorida; Sarcocystidae. The record is from RNAcentral.